CCCUUAGAUGUUCUGGGCCGCACGCGCGCUACACUGACGAUGGCAACGAGUUUUUCCUUCGCCGAAAGGUGUGGGUAAUCUUUUGAAACACCGUCGUGCUGGGGAUAGAUCAUUGCAAUUUUUGAUCUUGAACGAGGAAUUCCUAGUAAGCGCGAGUCAUCAGCUCGCGUUGAUUACGUCCCUGCCCUUUGUACACACCGCCCGUCGCUACUACCGAUUGAAUGGUUUAGUGAGGACUCCUGAUUGGCGCCGCCGCCCCGGCAACGGAGCAGCGGACUGCCGAAAAGUUGUUCAAACUUGAUCAUUUAGAGGAAGUAAAAGUCGUAACA
RNAcentral lists this ribosomal RNA (329 nucleotides) under uncultured eukaryote. RNAcentral describes it as "partial 18S ribosomal RNA". It matches the Rfam family "Eukaryotic small subunit ribosomal RNA", at positions 1470 to 1796 of the family's 1831-position model. The record is from RNAcentral.